AAGUAUUGCACAAUGGGGGAAACCCUGAUGCAGCCAUGCCGCGUGUGUGAAGAAGGACCUUCGGGUUGUUAAAGCACUUUCAGUAGGGAGGAAGGUAGUGUAGUUAACACCUGCAUUAUUUGACGUUACCUACAGAAGAAGCACCGGCUAACUCCGUGCCAGCAGCCGCGGUAAUACGGAGGGUGCGAGCGUUAAUCGGAAUUACUGGGCGUAAAGCGCAUGCAGGCGGCCUGUUAAGUCAGAUGUGAAAGCCCGGGCUUAACCUCGGAAUUGCAUUUGAAACUGGCAGGCUAGAGUCUUGUAGAGGGGGGUAGGAAUUUCAGGUGUAGCGGUGAAAUGCGUAGAGAUCUGAAGGAAUACCAGUGGCGAAGGCGGCCCCCUGGACAAAGACUGACGCUCAGAUGCGAAAGCGUGGGGAGCAAACAGGAUUAGAUACCCUGGUAG
This 444-nucleotide ribosomal RNA is filed under the name uncultured bacterium. Its description in RNAcentral is "bacterial SSU rRNA". It matches the Rfam family "Bacterial small subunit ribosomal RNA", at positions 359 to 793 of the family's 1533-position model. The record is from RNAcentral.